AUGUUUUACGUCACAUCUAUUUUUAUGUUGUGACUCCUGUUUAAAUAUAGAUGAUUUAAACAAAAUACAAACACUCAUCAUCCUUGCUUGUGUAUCUAAAUUGAAGAUAGACAACAAUAUACAGUACACUUUCAUGACUUUGAUCUUUGUUACUGUGACAGAUUUGCACCCAAACGAACGAAAGGAAAAUGAAGAUGCACUGUAUGAAAUGUAAAAAAGACAGAGAAUGUAUCGUAAAUUCAAAACUUCGUCAGGCCAAGAACGCCAAAAGACCAAAUACAAUUAUGGUUACAGGAAUGUGUACGGUGUGUGGCUCCAAAACCUGUAAAAUCAUUGGAUGAUAGAUUGAUUCCAUCUUGUAACACUUUUCAUUUUGAUACAUUGUGUAUGUCGAUAUGGGUAUUGAAUCGUAUAUGUUUUAUUUCUUUUAAUGGUAAAUAUAAUAAAUCUAUUAGUAAGAA
Ostrea edulis (European flat oyster) is the source of this 461-nucleotide long non-coding RNA. RefSeq lists it as uncharacterized. The transcript is spliced from 2 exons. The record is from RefSeq and is a predicted model, not a curated record. Lineage: Eukaryota; Metazoa; Mollusca; Bivalvia; Ostreida; Ostreidae.